RNAcentral lists this ribosomal RNA (483 nucleotides) under uncultured Glomus. RNAcentral's name for it is "SSU rRNA". It matches the Rfam family "Eukaryotic small subunit ribosomal RNA", at positions 569 to 1056 of the family's 1831-position model. The record is from RNAcentral. Lineage: Eukaryota; Fungi; Glomeromycota; Glomeromycetes; Glomerales; Glomeraceae.
AGCAGCCGCGGUAAUUCCAGCUCCAAUAGCGUAUAUUAAAGUUGUUGCAGUUAAAAAGCUCGUAGUUGAAUUUCGAGAUCAAAUUGUUGGUCGUGCCUUGGUACGCACUGGCAUUAUUGGUUUCUCCCUUCUGACGAACCAUGAUGUCAUUAAUUUGGUGUCUUGGGGAAUCAGGACUGUUACUUUGAAAAAAUUAGAGUGUUUAAAGCAGGCUCACGCUUGAAUACAUUAGCAUGGAAUAAUGAAAUAGGACGUUUGAUUCUAUUUUGUUGGUUUCUAGGAUCGACGUAAUGAUUAAUAGGGAUAGUUGGGGGCAUUAGUAUUCAAUUGUCAGAGGUGAAAUUCUUGGAUUUUAUUGAAGACUAACUACUGCGAAAGCAUUUGCCAAGGAUGUUUUCAUUAAUCAAGAACGAAAGUUAGGGGAUCGAAGACGAUCAGAUACCGUCGUAGUCUUAACCAUAAACUAUGCCGACUAGGGAUCGG